Molecule: ribosomal RNA, 467 nt
Filed under: uncultured bacterium
Lineage: Bacteria
Description: partial 16S ribosomal RNA
Rfam family: Bacterial small subunit ribosomal RNA
Source: RNAcentral
GACGAACGCUGGCGGCGUGCUUAACACAUGCAAGUCGAACGGAAAGGCCUCUUUCGGGGGGUACUCGAGUGGCGAACGGGUGAGUAACACGUGAGUAACCUGCCCUUGACUUUGGGAUAACUUUAGGAAACUGGGGCUAAUACCGGAUAGGAGCUCCUGCGGCAUGGUGGGGGUUGGAAAGUUUCGGCGGUUGGGGCUGGACUCGCGGCUUAUCAGCUCGUUGGUGGGGUAGUGGCUUACCACAGCUUUGACGGGUAGCCGGACUGAGAGGGUGAACGGCCACAUUGGGACUGAGAUACGGCCCAGACUCCUAAGGGAGGCAGCCGUGGGGAAUAUUGCAAAAUGGGUGGAAGCCUGAUGCAGCAACGCCGUGAGGCGGAUGACGGCCUUUGGGUUGCAAACCGCUUUCGCUCAUGACGAAGCUUUGUGUGACGGUAGUGGGUAAAGAAGCAACGGCUAAAUACGUG